Molecule: transfer RNA, 77 nt
Filed under: Deefgea chitinilytica
Lineage: Bacteria; Pseudomonadati; Pseudomonadota; Betaproteobacteria; Neisseriales; Chitinibacteraceae
Also listed under: 1 other name
Description: tRNA-Arg
Rfam family: tRNA
About the family: Transfer RNA (tRNA) molecules are approximately 80 nucleotides in length. Their secondary structure includes four short double-helical elements and three loops (D, anti-codon, and T loops).
Source: RNAcentral
GCACCCGUAGCUCAGUUGGAUAGAGUAUCAGUUUCCGAAACUGAGGGUCACAGGUUCGAUUCCUGUCGGGUGCGCCA